This 403-nucleotide ribosomal RNA is filed under the name uncultured bacterium. Its description in RNAcentral is "partial 16S ribosomal RNA". It matches the Rfam family "Bacterial small subunit ribosomal RNA", at positions 28 to 526 of the family's 1533-position model. The record is from RNAcentral.
GACGAACGCUGGCGGCGUGCCUAAUACAUGCAAGUCGAACGCAGUGGGGACGGGUGAGUAACACGUGGGUAACCUCCCAUCAGAGGGGAUAACACUUGGAAACAGGUGCUAAACCGAUACUGAUGGAUGAACCCAUAUGGGAUUAGCUAGUAGGUGGGGUAAAGGCUCACCUAGGCGACGAUCCCUAGCGGGUCUGAGAGGUUGAUCAGCCACACUGGGACUGAGACACGGCCCAGACUCCUACGGGAGGCAGCAGUGGGGAAUAUUCCGCAAUGGGCGCAAGCCUGACCCAGCCACGCCGCGUGUAUGAAGAAGGUCUUCGGAUUGUAAAGCUCUUUCAGCGGGGAGGCGUUACCCGCCGAGGAAGCACCGGCUAACUCCGUGCCAGCAGCCGCGGUAAUAC